This 424-nucleotide ribosomal RNA is filed under the name uncultured bacterium. RNAcentral's name for it is "partial 16S ribosomal RNA". It matches the Rfam family "Bacterial small subunit ribosomal RNA", at positions 360 to 776 of the family's 1533-position model. The record is from RNAcentral.
AAUAUUUGAAAAUGGGCAAAAGCCUGAUACAGCCAUGCCGCGUGUGUGAAGAAGGCCAUAGGAAUGUCAAGCACUUUAAGUUGGGAGGAAGGGUUGUAGUUUCAUACUCUGCAUUUUUGACGAUACCGACAGAAUAAUCAACGUCUAACUUUGUUCCAGCAGCCGUGGUAAUCCGAAGUGUGCAAGCGUUAAUCGGAAUUAUUGGGCGUAAAGCGCGCGAAGGUGGUUCGUUAAGUUGGAUGUGAAAGCCCCGGGCUCAACCUGGAAACUGCAUCCAAAACUGGGGAGCUAGAGUACGGUAGAGGGUGGUGGAGUUUCCUGUGUAGCGGUGAAAUGCGUAGAUAUAGGAAGGAACACCAGUGGCGAAGGCGACCACCUGGACUGAUACUGACACUGAGGUGCGAAAGCGGGGGGAGCAAACAGG